GACGAACGCUGGCGGCGUGCUUAACACAUGCAAGUCGAACGGAAAGGCCCUGCUUUUGUGGGGUGCUCGAGUGGCGAACGGGUGAGUAACACGUGAGUAACCUGCCCUUGACUUUGGGAUAACUUCAGGAAACUGGGGCUAAUACCGGAUAGGAGCUCCUGCUGCAUGGUGGGGGUUGGAAAGUUUCGGCGGUUGGGGAUGGACUCGCGGCUUAUCAGCUUGUUGGUGGGGUAGUGGCUUACCAAGGCUUUGACGGGUAGCCGGCCUGAGAGGGUGACCCGCCACAUUGGGACUGAGAUACGGCCCAGACUCCUACGGGAGGCAGCAGUGGGGAAUAUUGCACAAUGGGCGGAAGCCUGAUGCAGCAACGCCGCGUGCGGGAUGACGGCCUUCGGGUUGUAAACCGCUUUCGCCUGUGACGAAGCGUGAGUGACGGUAAUGGGUAAAGAAGCACCAGCUAACUACGUG
RNAcentral lists this ribosomal RNA (468 nucleotides) under uncultured bacterium. RNAcentral describes it as "partial 16S ribosomal RNA". It matches the Rfam family "Bacterial small subunit ribosomal RNA", at positions 28 to 507 of the family's 1533-position model. The record is from RNAcentral.